UGGUGCCUGUUUUGGUAGGUACAUUUUCUUGGAAUAGUGUCCUGGACAAUGAAGAAGAAAGACAUGUGGAACCUGGGCCAUUGAGAUAAUCACACAGCCACGGCACAGUGUUUACAUCCUUGUAUUUCCACUAACGUGUAGCUGCUGAACUCAAUCGUGGCCUAAAAUCAUAGCAUCCUGCCUGCAUAACUACUUCUAGAUGGAAACUCACUGUGUAAAGUGUAUGCUAUCCUAAGGUGGGACGCCAAGAUGACCAUAUAGGAACAGCUCCAGCCUCCAGCUCCCAGCAUGAGUGACAGAGAAGACAGGUGAUUUCUGCAUUUCCAAC
Molecule: non-coding RNA, 328 nt
Organism: Chlorocebus sabaeus (green monkey)
Lineage: Eukaryota; Metazoa; Chordata; Mammalia; Primates; Cercopithecidae
Source: RefSeq, a predicted model, not a curated record